Molecule: long non-coding RNA, 242 nt
Filed under: Physcomitrium patens
Lineage: Eukaryota; Viridiplantae; Streptophyta; Bryopsida; Funariales; Funariaceae
Description: long non-coding RNA (PPAT_LNC000845)
Source: RNAcentral
UGAUAAUAUUAAAUAUCUUUGCCAACAAGUCAUGCAAUUCAAAGAAGCAUGUUAAUCACCUUCAUAAUUGGAUCAAAGAAGUCUUUCUACUACAAAUAUGAGGGAGGUAAGGAUUAUUAUGCCAAAGAAUUUUAAUGAAAUAAGAUCAAAAUUUUAAAAAUUGUUACAAUAAGUUAAGUUCUAUCUAAAUUUGCAUCUUUCCUAAUACCUUUAUAGAUUUAUAAAAGUUGGAUUCAUAAAUG